Suricata suricatta (meerkat) is the source of this 228-nucleotide long non-coding RNA. RefSeq lists it as uncharacterized. The transcript is spliced from 3 exons. NCBI's taxonomy places the organism in Eukaryota, Metazoa, Chordata, Mammalia, Carnivora, Herpestidae. The record is from RefSeq and is a predicted model, not a curated record.
GUGGACUCCUGGCAUUAAUGAAAUGAACAGAAACACAUGUUCCAUUGAUACAGGAUCUGUGGCAUCAUCACGGAAACCCAGACUUUGAGCAGAAGAAUGGGGACUCGGAAGAUUUAAUAAUGUGCACCUCAUGCCUGCUUUCUCCUCCAGCCAGUCUAACCUGCUUGUGAUGAUCGCCAAGAGAGUCCUGUGAACGCCCCAGGAUCAGCUUCCUGCCGCUGACGAAAG